GAUGAAGAACGUAGCGAAAUGCGAUACGUAAUGUGAAUUGCGAAUUCAGUGAAUCAUCGAGUCUUUGAACGCACAUUGCGCCCCCUGGUAUUCCGGGGGGCAUGCCUGUCCGAGCGUCAUUGCUGCCCUCAAGCACGGCUUGUGUGUUGGGCCCCGUCCUCCGAUCCCGGGGGACGGGCCCGAAAGGCAGCGGCGGCACCGCGUCCGGUCCUCGAGCGUAUGGGGCUUUGUCACCCGCUCUGUAGGCCCGGCCGGCGCUUGCCGAUCAACCCAAAUUUUUAUCCAGGUUGACCUCGGAUCAGGUAGGGAUACCCGCUGAACUUAAGCAUAUCAAUAAGCGGAGGA
RNAcentral lists this unclassified non-coding RNA (345 nucleotides) under soil metagenome. RNAcentral describes it as "partial contains 5.8S ribosomal RNA, internal transcribed spacer 2, and large subunit ribosomal RNA". The stretch from base 1 to 119 matches the Rfam family "5.8S ribosomal RNA", at positions 35 to 154 of the family's 154-position model. The record is from RNAcentral.